GAUGAACGCUAGCGGCAGGCCUAACACAUGCAAGUCGAGGGGUAUAAAAGAGCUUGCUUUUUUAGAGACCGGCAAACGGGUGCGGAACACGUACGCAAUCUGCCCUUAUCACGGGGAUAGCCCAGAGAAAUUUGGAUUAAUACCCGAUAGUAUUAUAAUAAGGCAUCUUGUUGUAAUUAAAGCUAUGGCGGAUAAGGAUGAGCGUGCGCAAGAUUAGCUAGUUGGUGAGGUAACGCUCACCAAGGCGACGAUCUUUAGCUGAUGUGAGAGCAUGAUCAGCCACACGGGCACUGAGACACGGG
RNAcentral lists this ribosomal RNA (302 nucleotides) under uncultured bacterium. Its description in RNAcentral is "bacterial SSU rRNA". It matches the Rfam family "Bacterial small subunit ribosomal RNA", at positions 28 to 330 of the family's 1533-position model. The record is from RNAcentral.